This 287-nucleotide long non-coding RNA is filed under the name Populus tremula. RNAcentral's name for it is "long non-coding RNA (PTRE_LNC001972)". The record is from RNAcentral. Lineage: Eukaryota; Viridiplantae; Streptophyta; Magnoliopsida; Malpighiales; Salicaceae.
GUUAUAAAACUUCAUUUAGUGAUCGAUCGAGGACAAGCUCUGGAUCCCUAAUUGAGAGCUCAAAAAAAUAUAAAGAGGCUUUUAUGGGCCUAAUAAACUGAAUGACAAACUACAAGCCCAAAUACAAGUCCAAGUCCGUAUGAAAUCAACCUUGCCAAAUCAGCCCACUUAUAUGUAUUUAUAUAUAAACAACAUCCACAUUUUUUUGUACGGUUAUGGAUUUAUUUUACAACAGCUGCUUCUUCUCCUUAGCUUUCAAAACUCUUUUCGCCAUCAAAGAACUUAUC